AUCAGCUUCGCGCGUCUGCUAGGUUUCCUCGCCGCCGCCUCUUGUCCAGCUAGCCGCCGCAGUCGCCGCCGCCGCCGUCCUUCCCGAUGCCAUGCAGGGAGGUUAGCCAACGUCGCUAUCCUUCCCCAACGUCGCAAUCGCUGGCCUCCGCCCGUCCCUCUGCUGCUUCCCGUCCUGCUGCACAUCCGGCCUCCACACUACUCUCAUCUUCACGGCAAGCUCCAGUCCCAUCGUCCCCGUCCAAGCUCUUACCAAGAGGGAGUAACAUUCAUUUUAUGAUAGAUGGAUAAAGGUAAAUCUGGGGAAGCAAAUUGGGAUCCUGUUGCCCAUAAAAUUUUCCUUGACAUUUGUGUUGAAGAAGUGAAUGCAAAUAACCGUUUUGAUGGACAUUUGAGCCCAAUUGGGUACGAAAAUAUGAUAAGAAAAUGCAAUGAGCGGACAAACAGAAAUUAUGUUCGCAAGCAAUUCAAGAAUAGGUGGGAUUUACUUAAAAAAGAGUACAAUUGUUGGAAGAUGUUGAACCAAAAGGCAUCUGGAAUUGGAAUAGAUCCUGUUACUAGGAGCAUUGCGGCCACUGAUGAAUGGUGGGCGACUGAGAUACAGAGAAAUGAGAUUGCCGCCAAGUUUCGAUAUGCUCCAUUAGUUGAUGUGCAAAGAAUGAGUUUUAUAUUUGAUGACCAUAGUGUGACGAAUGCAUAUGCAAGGGUCGCAACUCCCUCGUCUCAAGUUGAUGCCUCUCAAAUUAACAUUGAAGAGGAUAAUGAGGACGACUCGGGAUGUGAGUUAGAUGUUAACCAAGUUACACCCACCAAUGUUUCAUCUAAAGGUCGAGAAAGAGAUCAUGUCCUUAUUCACCGAGUCCCAAGAUGGUCCAAAAGGCGGCAAAAGAUAGUGAUGAUAAAAUGGUAUUUAACCGUAUGGUUGACCUUUGGGAGAGGAGGGAGAUUAGCCGCAAUUCAGCGAUGUCUCAAACAAAUGUGGAUCAUGUGAGAGAUGAGAUAAAAGAGAUGACGACCAUGGUGGUGAACGAUGGAGGUCGGCCUGGAAGUGAUGUGUAUUUCUAUGCUCUACAGCUGUUUACGAAGAAGGAACAUCGCAAUGUAUUCAGUGCCCUCAAGGAUGAGAUUGCUAGUGUGAGGCUUGAAUGGAUCAAGCGGACAUGGGAUCUCUUUAUGAAAAAAGAUUAGAACUUCUGUGAUGUUAUUUGCUUUGAACAAAAUUACUUGCUAUCGACUUGUAUUGUUGUGAACCUAUGUUUUUUUUGGAACCUCUUGUUUGCACUCAGAUUGUAAUAUAGGGAAACUGGAUUAUUUGUCAUCAAUUCAUAUGCAUCAUGGAUCUUUUUUCUAGUCGUUUUUAAUGCCAUGUAUC
RNA transcript from Triticum aestivum (bread wheat), 1371 nucleotides. It is a transcript of the gene named L10-interacting MYB domain-containing protein-like, with no coding region annotated. NCBI's taxonomy places the organism in Eukaryota, Viridiplantae, Streptophyta, Magnoliopsida, Poales, Poaceae. The transcript is spliced from 3 exons. The record is from RefSeq and is a predicted model, not a curated record.